GAUGAACGCUGGCGGCGUGCUUAACACAUGCAAGUCGAGCGAAGCACUUAAGUUUGAUUCUUCGGAUGAGGACUUUUGUGACCGAGCGGCGGACGGGUGAGUAACGCGUGGGUAACCUGCCUCAUACAGGGGGAUAACAGUUAGAAAUGGCUGCUAAUACCGCAUAAGACCACAGUACUGCAUGGUACAGUGGUAAAAACUCCGGUGGUAUGAGAUGGACCCGCGUCUGAUUAGGUAGUUGGUGAGGUAACGGCCCACCAAGCCGACGAUCAGUGGCCGACCUGAGAGGGUGACCGGCCACAUUGGGACUGAGACACGGCCCAGACUCCUACGGGAGGCAGCAGUGGGGAAUAUUGCACAAUGGGCGAAAGCCUGAUGCAGCGACGCCGCGUGAAGGAUGAAGUAUUUCGGUAUGUAAACUUCUAUCAGCAGGGAAGAAAAUGACGGUACCUGACUAAGAAGCCCCGGCUAACUACGUGCCAGCAGCCGCAGUAA
This 495-nucleotide ribosomal RNA is filed under the name uncultured bacterium. Its description in RNAcentral is "partial 16S ribosomal RNA". It matches the Rfam family "Bacterial small subunit ribosomal RNA", at positions 28 to 523 of the family's 1533-position model. The record is from RNAcentral.